RNAcentral lists this small nuclear RNA (136 nucleotides) under Otolemur garnettii (small-eared galago). RNAcentral describes it as "U1 spliceosomal RNA (ENSOGAG00000023436.1)". It matches the Rfam family "U1 spliceosomal RNA". Rfam says of the family: U1 is a small nuclear RNA (snRNA) component of the spliceosome (involved in pre-mRNA splicing). Lineage: Eukaryota; Metazoa; Chordata; Mammalia; Primates; Galagidae. The record is from RNAcentral.
AUCCUACCGGCAGGGGGGAAACCAUGAUCACCAAGGUGGUUUUCCUGGGGCGAGGCUCUCUCGAUGUGCUGACCCCUGUGACUUCCUCAAACUGACUGCACAGUUUGUGGUAGUGGGAGACCGCGUUUGUGCUACA